Molecule: ribosomal RNA, 600 nt
Filed under: uncultured Escherichia sp.
Lineage: Bacteria; Pseudomonadati; Pseudomonadota; Gammaproteobacteria; Enterobacterales; Enterobacteriaceae
Description: bacterial SSU rRNA
Rfam family: Bacterial small subunit ribosomal RNA
Source: RNAcentral
CGCAAGACCAAAGAGGGGGACCUUCGGGCCUCUUGCCAUCGGAUGUGCCCAGAUGGGAUUAGCUAGUAGGUGGGGUAACGGCUCACCUAGGCGACGAUCCCUAGCUGGUCUGAGAGGAUGACCAGCCACACUGGAACUGAGACACGGUCCAGACUCCUACGGGAGGCAGCAGUGGGGAAUAUUGCACAAUGGGCGCAAGCCUGAUGCAGCCAUGCCGCGUGUAUGAAGAAGGCCUUCGGGUUGUAAAGUACUUUCAGCGAGGAGGAAGGUGUUGUGGUUAAUAACCGCAGCAAUUGACGUUACUCGCAGAAGAAGCACCGGCUAACUCCGUGCCAGCAGCCGCGGUAAUACGGAGGGUGCAAGCGUUAAUCGGAAUUACUGGGCGUAAAGCGCACGCAGGCGGUCUGUCAAGUCGGAUGUGAAAUCCCCGGGCUCAACCUGGGAACUGCAUCCGAAACUGGCAGGCUAGAGUCUUGUAGAGGGGGGUAGAAUUCCAGGUGUAGCGGUGAAAUGCGUAGAGAUCUGGAGGAAUACCGGUGGCGAAGGCGGCCCCCUGGACAAAGACUGACGCUCAGGUGCGAAAGCGUGGGGAGCAAACAG